This 28-nucleotide small RNA is filed under the name Bombyx mori (domestic silkworm). RNAcentral describes it as "ovarian small RNA-8234". Lineage: Eukaryota; Metazoa; Arthropoda; Insecta; Lepidoptera; Bombycidae. The record is from RNAcentral.
UGAGUCCACCGCCGGAUGUUGCCACGAC